RNAcentral lists this ribosomal RNA (466 nucleotides) under uncultured bacterium. RNAcentral describes it as "partial 16S ribosomal RNA". It matches the Rfam family "Bacterial small subunit ribosomal RNA", at positions 28 to 507 of the family's 1533-position model. The record is from RNAcentral.
GAUGAACGCUGGCGGCGUGCUUAACACAUGCAAGUCGAACGGAAAGGCCCAAGCUUGCUUGGGUACUCGAGUGGCGAACGGGUGAGUAACACGUGGGUGAUCUGCCCUGCACUUCGGGAUAAGCCUGGGAAACUGGGUCUAAUACCGGAUAGGACCACAUUUUGGAUGGUGUGGUGGAAAGUUUUUCGGUGUGGGAUGAGCUCGCGGCCUAUCAGCUUGUUGGUGGGGUAAUGGCCUACCAAGGCGUCGACGGGUAGCCGGCCUGAGAGGGUGUACGGCCACAUUGGGACUGAGAUACGGCCCAGACUCCUACGGGAGGCAGCAGUGGGGAAUAUUGCACAAUGGGCGCAAGCCUGAUGCAGCGACGCCGCGUGGGGGAUGACGGCCUUCGGGUUGUAAACUCCUUUCGCUAGGGACGAAGCGUUAUGUGGCGGUACCUGGAGAAGAAGCACCGGCUAACUACGUG